This 87-nucleotide unclassified non-coding RNA is filed under the name Pseudomonas orientalis. Lineage: Bacteria; Pseudomonadati; Pseudomonadota; Gammaproteobacteria; Pseudomonadales; Pseudomonadaceae. The record is from RNAcentral.
GUGGGAGGGGGCUUGCCCCCGAUAGCGGUUUGUCAGCCAGCAAAUUUGCAACUGAUACAGAGUCAUCGGGGGCAAGCCCCCUCCCAC